GGCAUGCCUUACACAUGCAAGUCGAACGGUAACAGGUCUUCGGAUGCUGACGAGUGGCGAACGGGUGAGUAAUACAUCGGAACGUGCCCGAUCGUGGGGGAUAACGAGGCGAAAGCUUUGCUAAUACCGCAUACGAUCUACGGAUGAAAGCGGGGGAUCUUUGGACCUCGCGCGGACGGAGCGGCCGAUGGCAGAUUAGGUAGUUGGUGGGAUAAAAGCUUACCAAGCCGACGAUCUGUAGCUGGUCUGAGAGGAUGAUCAGCCACACUGGGACUGAGACACGGCCCAGACUCCUACGGGAGGCAGCAGUGGGGAAUUUUGGACAAUGGGCGAAAGCCUGAUCCAGCCAUGCCGCGUGCAGGAUGAAGGCCUUCGGGUUGUAAACUGCUUUUGUACGGAACGAAAAGCCUCUUUCUAAUAAAGAGGGGUCAUGACGGUACCGUAAGAAUAAGCACCGGCUAACUACGUGCCAGCAGCCGCGGUAAUACGUAGGGUGCAAGCGUUAA
This 506-nucleotide ribosomal RNA is filed under the name uncultured bacterium. RNAcentral's name for it is "bacterial SSU rRNA". It matches the Rfam family "Bacterial small subunit ribosomal RNA", at positions 41 to 543 of the family's 1533-position model. The record is from RNAcentral.